Molecule: ribosomal RNA, 538 nt
Filed under: uncultured bacterium
Lineage: Bacteria
Description: bacterial SSU rRNA
Rfam family: Bacterial small subunit ribosomal RNA
Source: RNAcentral
AGUCAAUAGAUACCCGGGUAGUCCAUGCCGUAAACGAUGAUUGCUAGGUGUGGGGGGUCUGACCCCUUCCGUGCCGGAGUUAAACACAAAUAAGCAAUCCACCUGGGGAGUACGGCCGCAAGGUUGAAACUCAAAGGAAUUGACGGGGGCCCGCACAAGCAGUGGAGUAUGUGGUUUAAUUCGAAGCAACGCGAAGAACCUUACCAGGUCUUGACAUCCACCGAAUCCUGUAGAGAUACGGGAGUGCCCUUCGGGGAACGGUGAGACAGGUGGUGCAUGGUUGUCGUCAGCUCGUGUCGUGAGAUGUUGGGUUAAGUCCCGCAACGAGCGCAACCCUUGUGAAUAGUUGCUACGAAAGAGCACUCUAUUCAGACCGCCGUUGACAAAACGGAGGAAGGUGGGGAUGACGUCAAAUCAUCAUGCCCCUUAUGACCUGGGCUACACACGUACUACAAUGGCCGUUAACAGAGGGAUGCAAUGCCGCGAGGUGAGCGAACCCCUAAAAACGGUCUCAGUUCAGAUUGCAGGCUGAAACUCG